CAGGCAGGCCUAUGCUCGAAUACAUUAGCAUGGAAUAAUAGAAUAGGACGUGUGGUUCUAUUUUGUUGGUUUCUAGGACCGCCGUAAUGAUUAAUAGGGACAGUCGGGGGCAUCAGUAUUCAAUUGUCAGAGGUGAAAUUCUUGGAUUUAUUGAAGACUAACUACUGCGAAAGCAUUUGCCAAGGAUGUUUUCAUUAAUCAGGAACGAAAGUUAGGGGAUCGAAGACGAUCAGAUACCGUCGUAGUCUUAACCAUAAACUAUGCCGACUAGGGAUCGGACGGUGUUAUUUUUUGACCCGUUCGGCACCUUACGAGAAAUCAAAGUGCUUGGGCUCCAGGGGGAGUAUGGUCGCAAGGCUGAAACUUAAAGAAAUUGACGGAAGGGCACCACCAGGGGUGGAGCCUGCGGCUUAAUUUGACUCAACACGGGGAAACUCACCAGGUCCAGACACAAUGAGGAUUGACAGAUUGAGAGCUCUUUCUUGAUUUUGUGGGUGGUGGUGCAUGGCCGUUCUUAGUUGGUGGAGUGAUUUGUCUGCUUAAUUGCGAUAAC
This 553-nucleotide ribosomal RNA is filed under the name uncultured fungus. RNAcentral describes it as "SSU rRNA". It matches the Rfam family "Eukaryotic small subunit ribosomal RNA", at positions 777 to 1332 of the family's 1831-position model. The record is from RNAcentral. Lineage: Eukaryota; Fungi.